This 505-nucleotide ribosomal RNA is filed under the name uncultured bacterium. Its description in RNAcentral is "bacterial SSU rRNA". It matches the Rfam family "Bacterial small subunit ribosomal RNA", at positions 28 to 518 of the family's 1533-position model. The record is from RNAcentral.
GACGAACGCUGGCGGCGUGGAUUAGGCAUGCAAGUCGGACGGUAGAGCUUUAUCGUAAGAUAGAGUUUGGGAGUGGCGAACGGGUGAGUAACACGUAGGAAUCUACCCUUAAGACGGGGACAACCCAGGGAAACUUGGGCUAAUACCGGAUGAGAGUGCGAGAGAUUGCAUUUAAAAGGAUGGCGAAAGUUGUCGCUUAGGGAUGAGCCUGCGGUCUAUUAGUUAGUUGGUGAGGUAAGGGCUCACCAAGGCGAUGAUAGAUAGGCGGCCUUAACGGGUGGUCGCCCACACUGGGAUUGAGAUACGGCCCAGACUCCUACGGGAGGCAGCAGUCGAGAAUAGUCUACAAUGGCCGGAAGGCUGAUAGUGCGACGCCGCGUGAACGAGGGAGCCCUUCGGGUGUAAAGUUCUUUUCUAUACGAGCAGUGCUAUAUAUAUGGAUAGUAUAUAUAGAGGGAUAGUAGUAUAGGAAUAAGCAACGGCUAACUCCGUGCCAGCAGCCGAC